CCUUGGAAUGGGAACACGCUUACAGUAAUGAACCCGGAGCAAGCUGAGGAGCCUGAAUCCAGCGGAAGUUUUCACGGACGGCUCAACGCAUGACAGAGUCACAUGUUGCGGAAGGAGCCGGCGUCCCGGGCACAUCCCCAGGGUGGGCACCGCCAGGAGAUGGAUUGCCCAAGACCCUGGCCGCCUCCAGACAGUGUUAACCUCCUUCCUUGAGGACCUUUCCCUCAUCUUCCAGGUCAUGCAAGACCUGGGACCCCCAGGACCUCGGACGUCUGAGUAGGAAAAAAGGUCUAAAACCCAUGUGCUACAUGCCACAUGCCAGAGCGUGCAUCCUUCCCUAGGCCCUAAGUUCUUGGAUUGCCAUGUUCUCCUUAGAUCCUAACUUUUUCUGCCUUCACUGCUUACUCAUUGGGUGCUCGGGGCCCACUUGUGUUUCAUGGUUGGUGGGAGACAUAAUUAAAUGUUUGCAUAAAAUAAAUCAAAUGUAACUGA
Molecule: long non-coding RNA, 492 nt
Organism: Cavia porcellus (domestic guinea pig)
Lineage: Eukaryota; Metazoa; Chordata; Mammalia; Rodentia; Caviidae
Exons: 3
Source: RefSeq, a predicted model, not a curated record